UGCAGUCGAGCGGACAGAAGGGAGCUUGCUCCCGGAUGUUAGCGGCGGACGGGUGAGUAACACGUGGGUAACCUGCCUGUAAGACUGGGAUAACUCCGGGAAACCGGAGCUAAUACCGGAUAGUUCCUUGAACCGCAUGGUUCAAGGAUGAAAGACGGUUUCGGCUGUCACUUACAGAUGGACCCGCGGCGCAUUAGCUAGUUGGUGGGGUAAUGGCUCACCAAGGCGACGAUGCGUAGCCGACCUGAGAGGGUGAUCGGCCACACUGGGACUGAGACACGGCCCAGACUCCUACGGGAGGCAGCAGUAGGGAAUCUUCCGCAAUGGACGAAAGUCUGACGGAGCAACGCCGCGUGAGUGAUGAAGGUUUUCGGAUCGUAAAGCUCUGUUGUUAGGGAAGAACAAGUGCGAGAGUAACUGCUCGCACCUUGACGGUACCUAACCAGAAAGCCACGGCUAACUACGUGCCAGCAGCCGCGGUAAUACGUAGGUGGCAAGCGUUGUCCGGAAUUAUUGGGCGUAAAGGGCUCGCAGGCGGUUUCUUAAGUCUGAUGUGAAAGCCCCCGGCUCAACCGGGGAGGGUCAUUGGAAACUGGGAAACUUGAGUGCAGAAGAGGAGAGUGGAAUUCCACGUGUAGCGGUGAAAUGCGUAGAGAUGUGGAGGAACACCAGUGGCGAAGGCGACUCUCUGGUCUGUAACUGACGCUGAGGAGCGAAAG
RNAcentral lists this ribosomal RNA (719 nucleotides) under Bacillus safensis. RNAcentral's name for it is "bacterial SSU rRNA". It matches the Rfam family "Bacterial small subunit ribosomal RNA", at positions 56 to 759 of the family's 1533-position model. The record is from RNAcentral. Lineage: Bacteria; Bacillati; Bacillota; Bacilli; Caryophanales; Bacillaceae.